UACGUAGGUGGCAAGCGUUGUCCGGAUUUACUGGGUGUAAAGGGCGUGCAGCCGGAGAGACAAGUCAGAUGUGAAAUCCACGGGCUCAACCCGUGAACUGCAUUUGGAACUGUGUGGCUAGAGUGUCGGAGAGGCAGGCGGAAUUCCUAGUGUAGCGGUGAAAUGCGUAGAUAUUAGGAGGAACACCAGUGGCGAAGGCGGCCUGCUGGACGAUGACUGACGUUGAGGCUCGAAAGCGUGGGGAGCAAACAGG
This 253-nucleotide ribosomal RNA is filed under the name uncultured bacterium. RNAcentral's name for it is "partial 16S ribosomal RNA". It matches the Rfam family "Bacterial small subunit ribosomal RNA", at positions 524 to 776 of the family's 1533-position model. The record is from RNAcentral.